Molecule: long non-coding RNA, 701 nt
Organism: Panicum virgatum (switchgrass)
Lineage: Eukaryota; Viridiplantae; Streptophyta; Magnoliopsida; Poales; Poaceae
Exons: 3
Source: RefSeq, a predicted model, not a curated record
GAAUGACUACUGCAACUUUGGUGUGCGACGUUGCAGUUGAGGCCCACUGCCCGGAUAGAGUCAUGAGGCAGUUCGGUCGACGCCAGUCUUUCCCUGUAUCUUCAGCGUUGGAUCGUGUUCAGCGCCACGAUCAUAGUUUAUCAAGGGCUGGACAUCCUUUCUCGACAAUGUGGGUCACUAGAUUACAACCAUGGGUGGCUGCGUGGGAUGAUGCAGGCGAGCAGUUGGCAGAGGAUACCGGUCCACACACUGAGCCUUCGUUUCGGGCGUACCUGACCUGGUACGAACCGAAGACUCGUUGCCGUUUGACGUAUGUUGACAUGCAUUCACAGCCGCAUGUUGCGACUUCGCAGGAUCGCUAUGCAUGACACAGGGAUGAGGCAUUAGCUGGGGCGUUCGAGGCCUGUAGGUUGCUUGAAUUAGAUUGCUCACUGAAUGUAAUGAGGAUUCAUGGCGGGUCUACGAUGAGCAUGCGGGCACAACUCGAGGCCUGGACCACUCAACGUGAUAGAGCUCGAGGCAUCCUUCAGGCCUUUGGUACGCGGACGGAGUACGAGGAUUCAUACGGAUCGUCGCAAGCAUCGACGUCGGUUCCUUGUGGUCCCGCAUGGCAGCAGCCUCCCUUAUACCACCGACAGUACGAAGGUAUGGUGUGAUAUUUACCGAUCCGUAUGUUUAUAUGCAGUAUUUAAAUAUGACUC